GUACACAAAAAUGCACAUGCUGUGAGCUCGAUGAGUAGGGCGGGACACGUGGUAUCCUGUCUGAAUAUGGGGGGACCAUCCUCCAAGGCUAAAUACUCCUGACUGACCGAUAGUGAACCAGUACCGUGAGGGAAAGGCGAAAAGAACCCCGGCGAGGGGAGUGAAAAAGAACCUGAAACCGUGUACGUACAAGCAGUGGGAGCACAGAGCAAUCUGUGUGACUGCGUACCUUUUGUAUAAUGGGUCAGCGACUUAUAUUCUGUAGCAAGGUUAACCGAAUAGGGGAGCCGAAGGGAAACCGAGUCUUAACUGGGCGUUAAGUUGCAGGGUAUAGACCCGAAACCCGGUGAUCUAGCCAUGGGCAGGUUGAAGGUUGGGUAACACUAACUGGAGGACCGAACCGACUAAUGUUGAAAAAUUAGCGGAUGACUUGUGGCUGGGGGUGAAAGGCCAAUCAAACCGGGAGAUAGCUGGUUCUCCCCGAAAGCUAUUUAGGUAGCGCCUCGUGAAUUCAUCUCCGGGGGUAGAGCACUGUUUCGGCAAGGGGGUCAUCCCGACUUACCAACCCGAUGCAAACUGCGAAUACCGGAGAAUGUUAUCACGGGAGACACACGGCGGGUGCUAACGUCCGUCGUGAAGAGGGAAACAACCCAGACCGCCAGCUAAGGUCCCAAAGUCAUGGUUAAGUGGGAAACGAUGUGGGAAGGCCCAGACAGCCAGGAUGUUGGCUUAGAAGCAGCCAUCAUUUAAAGAAAGCGUAAUAGCUCACUGGUCGAGUCGGCCUGCGCGGAAGAUGUAACGGGGCUAAACCAUGCACCGAAGCUGCGGCAGCGACACUGUGUGUUGUUGGGUAGGGGAGCGUUCUGUAAGCCUGUGAAGGUGUGCUGUGAGGCAUGCUGGAGGUAUCAGAAGUGCGAAUGCUGACAUAAGUAACGAUAAAGCGGGUGAAAAGCCCGCUCGCCGGAAGACCAAGGGUUCCUGUCCAACGUUAAUCGGGGCAGGGUGAGUCGACCCCUAAGGCGAGGCCGAAAGGCGUAGUCGAUGGGAAACAGGUUAAUAUUCCUGUACUUGGUGUUACUGCGAAGGGGGGACGGAGAAGGCUAUGUUGGCCGGGCGACGGUUGUCCCGGUUUAAGCGUGUAGGCUGGUUUUCCAGGCAAAUCCGGAAAAUCAAGGCUGAGGCGUGAUGACGAGGCACUACGGUGCUGAAGCAACAAAUGCCCUGCUUCCAGGAAAAGCCUCUAAGCAUCAGGUAACAUCAAAUCGUACCCCAAACCGACACAGGUGGUCAGGUAGAGAAUACCAAGGCGCUUGAGAGAACUCGGGUGAAGGAACUAGGCAAAAUGGUGCCGUAACUUCGGGAGAAGGCACGCUGAUAUGUAGGUGAAGUCCCUCGCGGAUGGAGCUGAAAUCAGUCGAAGAUACCAGCUGGCUGCAACUGUUUAUUAAAAACACAGCACUGUGCAAACACGAAAGUGGACGUAUACGGUGUGACGCCUGCCCGGUGCCGGAAGGUUAAUUGAUGGGGUCAGCGCAAGCGAAGCUCUUGAUCGAAGCCCCGGUAAACGGCGGCCGUAACUAUAACGGUCCUAAGGUAGCGAAAUUCCUUGUCGGGUAAGUUCCGACCUGCACGAAUGGCGUAAUGAUGGCCAGGCUGUCUCCACCCGAGACUCAGUGAAAUUGAACUCGCUGUGAAGAUGCAGUGUACCCGCGGCAAGACGGAAAGACCCCGUGAACCUUUACUAUAGCUUGACACUGAACAUUGAGCCUUGAUGUGUAGGAUAGGUGGGAGGCUUUGAAGUGUGGACGCCAGUCUGCAUGGAGCCGACCUUGAAAUACCACCCUUUAAUGUUUGAUGUUCUAACGUGGACCCGUGAUCCGGGUUGCGGACAGUGUCUGGUGGGUAGUUUGACUGGGGCGGUCUCCUCCUAAAGAGUAACGGAGGAGCACGAAGGUUGGCUAAUCCUGGUCGGACAUCAGGAGGUUAGUGCAAUGGCAUAAGCCAGCUUGACUGCGAGCGUGACGGCGCGAGCAGGUGCGAAAGCAGGUCAUAGUGAUCCGGUGGUUCUGAAUGGAAGGGCCAUCGCUCAACGGAUAAAAGGUACUCCGGGGAUAACAGGCUGAUACCGCCCAAGAGUUCAUAUCGACGGCGGUGUUUGGCACCUCGAUGUCGGCUCAUCACAUCCUGGGGCUGAAGUAGGUCCCAAGGGUAUGGCUGUUCGCCAUUUAAAGUGGUACGCGAGCUGGGUUUAGAACGUCGUGAGACAGUUCGGUCCCUAUCUGCCGUGGGCGCUGGAGAACUGAGGGGGGCUGCUCCUAGUACGAGAGGACCGGAGUGGACGCAUCACUGGUGUUCGGGUUGUCAUGCCAAUGGCACUGCCCGGUAGCUAAAUGCGGAAGAGAUAAGUGCUGAAAGCAUCUAAGCACGAAACUUGCCCCGAGAUGAGUUCUCCCUGACCCUUUAAGGGUCCUGAAGGAACGUUGAAGACGACGACGUUGAUAGGCCGGGUGUGUAAGCGCAGCGAUGCGUUGAGCUAACCGGUACUAAUGAACCGUGAGGCUUAACCUUACAACGCCGAAGGUGUUU
Molecule: ribosomal RNA, 2586 nt
Filed under: Escherichia coli
Lineage: Bacteria; Pseudomonadati; Pseudomonadota; Gammaproteobacteria; Enterobacterales; Enterobacteriaceae
Description: partial 23S ribosomal RNA
Rfam family: Bacterial large subunit ribosomal RNA
Source: RNAcentral